Molecule: ribosomal RNA, 253 nt
Filed under: uncultured bacterium
Lineage: Bacteria
Description: partial 16S ribosomal RNA
Rfam family: Bacterial small subunit ribosomal RNA
Source: RNAcentral
UACGAAGGGGGCUAGCGUUGCUCGGAAUCACUGGGCGUAAAGCGCACGUAGGCGGGUCUUUAAGUCAGGGGUGAAAUCCUGGAGCUCAACUCCAGAACUGCCUUUGAUACUGAGGAUCUCGAGUCCGGGAGAGGUGAGUGGAACUCCGAGUGUAGAGGUGAAAUUCGUAGAUAUUCGGAAGAACACCAGUGGCGAAGGCGGCCAUCUGGACCGGUUCUGACGCUGAGGCGCGAAAGCGUGGGGAGCAAACAGG